GACGUAGGGCGCGAGCGUUGUCCGGAUUUAUUGGGCGUAAAGAGCUCGUAGGCGGUUUGUCGCGUCGAAUGUGAAAACCCGGGGCUCAACCCCGGGCCUGCAUUCGAUACGGGCAGACUAGAGUUCGGUAGGGGAGUCUGGAAUUCCUGGUGUAGCGGUGAAAUGCGCAGAUAUCAGGAGGAACACCAGUAGCGAAGGCGGCUCGCUGGGCCGUUCCUGACACUGAGACGCGAAAGCUAGGGGAGCGAACAGG
RNAcentral lists this ribosomal RNA (253 nucleotides) under uncultured bacterium. RNAcentral describes it as "partial 16S ribosomal RNA". It matches the Rfam family "Bacterial small subunit ribosomal RNA", at positions 524 to 776 of the family's 1533-position model. The record is from RNAcentral.